GCACCCGUAGCUCAGAUGGAUAGAGCACUUCCCUCCGAAGGAAGAGGUCGUAGGUUCGAAUCCUAUCGGGUGCGCCA
RNAcentral lists this transfer RNA (77 nucleotides) under Holosporales bacterium. RNAcentral's name for it is "tRNA-Arg". It matches the Rfam family "tRNA". Rfam says of the family: Transfer RNA (tRNA) molecules are approximately 80 nucleotides in length. Their secondary structure includes four short double-helical elements and three loops (D, anti-codon, and T loops). Lineage: Bacteria; Pseudomonadati; Pseudomonadota; Alphaproteobacteria; Holosporales. The record is from RNAcentral.